This 222-nucleotide unclassified non-coding RNA is filed under the name Hevea brasiliensis (rubber tree). The record is from RNAcentral. Lineage: Eukaryota; Viridiplantae; Streptophyta; Magnoliopsida; Malpighiales; Euphorbiaceae.
GUCGCAAGCCAGCGAGCGAGCAAAGCAAGAUGAUGAUGACCAUGUCGUCGCCGGCGGCCACCGCCUGCCUCCCCGCCUCGCCCUCCCUCGGGCCCCGCUCCCUUCGCCUCCUCCGCGGAGCUCUGGCCCGGAGGGGCAGCCGCCGGCUCGGGGUGGUGCGCGCGGCCAGCGCGGAGGUGGCCGCGCCCGACGCCGCCGCCGCCGCUCCGGGCUACACCUCCG